Molecule: long non-coding RNA, 1683 nt
Organism: Suricata suricatta (meerkat)
Lineage: Eukaryota; Metazoa; Chordata; Mammalia; Carnivora; Herpestidae
Exons: 3
Source: RefSeq, a predicted model, not a curated record
GCUCCCGGAAGCUCUGUCAGCAGCCAAGACUGGGAACAGACUAGAUCUCCAGCAGGUGAUGGUGGAUAAUAAACCAGCUCAUCUUCCCGACACGGAACACUAGACAAUGGAAAAGAAGGAAGCACUGGGCAAGGGCAAGGCACCGUGGACCUGGGACACGAACCGUUGAGUGAAGACGCUCACACUGCGCGACUCCGAGUGUGCGCAGCUACACGCAGGCGGGACUGAUCUCCGGCAACAACGUGCGCGACUUCGAGGGGCUUCGAGACGCGCCCGGGGCUUUGACUGAGCCGAGAAACCGUCCAUGAAACCAAACAUCCGUCAAGCUGUACAGUUAAAGUGUGUGUACUUUACACCUCCGUGAAAAAGUGAGAAAUGUUCCUGUGUGGAAUCCCUGAGCAUUUAGAGUUCCUUUCCUGCGGCGCGUGGAGGUGAGCCUCAGAAGUCACCCGGGAGGUGCCGUCGCUGCUUCUGAGCGGGUCAGCGUUCUCUCCGAGGCCGCGCCUCACUUCAGAAACGCCCCGGGCCUGAGAACAGGUAUCUGGAUUCCAGGCCCGUGUCUGCUGCUGUUUGUCCUGAGAAUUAUCCUCGAAGACGCCAUUUCCACGUCGCAGAGUCGGGUGUGCAAACGCCGUGAGUGCCGUCCGCGGGCCGGGCGUGACGCUGUCUCCUCGCCCCUCCCUUCUCCUAAGGCUGGCGCAGCACACGUCAAUGUGAGCGCGUCGCCUCGGAGAGCACAGCGACCUCCAGACUUUGGACGAUGGCCCCAAGUGAGCCAAACGUUUUACACCAUGACCCUGUGUGUACGUCCAUGUGGUCGACAGACAGAAAUUCCUUGAAGCGGUACUUACCCUCGGCUGUUGUCCGAUCCAUCCUAGCUGUUGGAAACAGCAGUUAUUUAUCCACGUAAAGACCCGUGGGCAACAAUCCACAGCGUGGAAGACGCUGGACUAGCCCUCAAAGAACCCAGCAGAUUAACCAGACGGGAUCUACGAACACACGUCACCUGGUACUUUGUAGUAUGUGUUUACUGAUGGUCUCUACCGUGGGCAGCACAUUGCACUGAGAGCAGAACUCCGUAUCUGUCGUGCUCACCGACCCGUUGAUGGGAGCCUGGUGGUCUCAGGACCCACGUGACGUACCCAUGCACACGGCAGCACGUUCCAACAUUCCUUGGCGCCGAUCAAAACCUUUGGAGGACCUUCCCCUUUGGAAAAAAUUACUGGUUUCUAUUUUUGUUCAACAUGAUAUAAAGAGCCACAAAUUAAGUAUUGCACUUCGAAAAAAAUAUAAACAACCCAGGGGAGUGAGGGCGCCGCUGCUGUGAUUUCAGUGAAGUCAGCACGUGUGUUCUUCUCUUAGAACUUUCGACGUAUACACCAAGUACUCAUGCAUCCCAAGACACGUUCCCCAAGCAUUUAUUCUUCAAUCUGAGUACCAUUGGGACAGCAUUCCUGUUCCUUGAAAACAUAGCAAAAUUUCUGUAGUGCAUUAAAUUAUAUGAAGUGUCAGUACAUAUUUGUUGGUCAGAUUUCAAGUAGGAAAUCGAACUUGGGAAAAGGGGAACGCUUGGCAUCGGAUAUCAGAUCACAUAAAAACAUUACCAGAGUACAUGGAUUCCUGCAGGGAGAAUGUGUCUCUGUGGCCCAUUUGAAGUAACGAUUCGAUUUAAUAAAUAAAGGA